RNA transcript from Hirundo rustica (Barn swallow), 12137 nucleotides. It is a transcript of the gene named potassium channel tetramerization domain containing 20, with no coding region annotated. Lineage: Eukaryota; Metazoa; Chordata; Aves; Passeriformes; Hirundinidae. The transcript is spliced from 11 exons. The record is from RefSeq and is a predicted model, not a curated record.
UCGAAGCCAUCGAUUUGGAUGCUGCGCUAAUGGAGAACAAUAUCGAUCAUGGGCAUUUCUUGGGCACAUGGGAGAGGAGCUUUCUCAUUCCCAGCACUCUCUCCUGUUCCACAUCCAGUAAUGGGGCUGGAACGUGUCUGCCUCAGCUCAGGCUUGGGCUCUUCUCUUAGGAAACGCCACCAACUCCUCACAGCACGGAGGCCCAGCAUGAAUGGCAACUGUGCUGGGGGCACAGACUGGUUGAGAAAUCCGGACUCCAGCUGUCCUGUGGAAAACAGAACUCUAGCAGCUCAUGAGCCAGAAGAAAGUUCUGUGGUGUUAGGAGGUCACAGCCCUGCAGUUCCCAGGACUGAGGGUUUGGAUUCUGAAUGCCGACACAACACUUGCCCAGUAAGUCCCCAGAUCAGUGGCAUGCUGUCUGCUCCUGAAGAACCUCACAACUGCCAUAUCCCAGAUGGAAGCAAGAGACAGCUGGAAUAUUUUAAUACCCAGGAACGCCAUGGGUGCAGUGCAUUGUCGUCAAGCAGCAGUUCUCAGACAGUAGCUCCAGAGAAAGUGACGCUGGUGGUGGAUGGCACCCGCUUUGCAGUGAAUCCCCAGAUCUUCACUGCUCACCCUGACACCAUGCUGGGAAGAAUGUUUGGGCCAGGCAGAGAAUACAAUUUCACCCGGCCAAAUGAGAAGGGCGAGUACGAGAUCGCCGAAGGGAUCAGCUCAGCCGUGUUCCGCACCGUGCUGGAUUAUUACAAAACCGGAAUCAUUAACUGCCCUGAUGGGAUUUCCAUCCCAGACCUUCGAGACACGUGUGAUUACCUCUGCAUAAACUUUGAUUUCAACACAAUCAAAUGUCAAGAUUUAAGUGCUCUGUUACACGAGCUCUCCAAUGAUGGGGCUCACAAGCAGUUUGACAGCUACCUGGAGGAGCUGAUCCUGCCCAUCAUGGUGGACAGCGCGAGGAAGGGGGAGCGGGAGUGCCACAUCGUCGUGCUGACCGACGAGGACACCGUGGACUGGGAUGAGGAUCACCCACCUCCCAUGGGAGAGGAGUAUUCACAAAUCCUUUACAGUUCCAAGCUGUACAGAUUCUUCAAGUACAUCGAGAACCGGGACGUGGCAAAAGCUGUGUUAAAAGAGCGGGGCCUGAAGAACAUUCGCAUUGGCAUCGAAGGCUAUCCCACCUGCAAGGAGAAGGUGAAGAGGAGGCCCGGUGGCCGCUCUGAGGUGAUCUACAACUACGUGCAGCGCCCGUUCAUCCAGAUGUCCUGGGAGAAGGAGGAGGGCAAGAGCCGCCACGUUGAUUUCCAGUGUGUUCGCAGCAAAUCCCUGACAAACCUGGUCACGGUGGGGGAUGAUGUUUCAGAGGACCACGAGGUGAUCAUGCAUCACCCCCCACAAGUGGAUGAACUGGACAGGCUGAACGCUCCCUUCUCCCAAAUGGUCGUUAACGAUCUGCCGGAUUAGCGCGGCUCAGGGUGGAGGAUCCUGCUGGAUGUGGGAAGCUCUCGCCGUAGUUUCAUCCCAGGUGAUGGGACACAGCCUCCUGCAAGGUGCUUUAUCCUCCUUCAUGCUCUUACUACGUUGUCAUAUUUCAAGCAUGUUAAUAAAGAGCCACACUCCAUAGUCUUAAUUGUGCAAUCAAAAGCAACGUCUCCUCAGACAAAAAGGAAGUGGCCUGUUGUUUCUACUACAAAGGCUUCUGGAUUGUGGGUGCUGAAUAUUUUAUCUGAACUUCUGAAGGAAGAGCACGAGUGUAAACCUCUUGUUUGACGUGAGAGAGGAAAUUCUGGGCCUGUCAAGACAAAGCUUUCCUUUACCAUUAGGCACAGCUUUGUUUUUAUGAGUUACAGAGGAGUGAACAUCAAAGCAGGACAGACGAUAUUCUAUAUCAACCAGCAGAAAUGUAGCACAGUGUGACGGCAAAACCCUGAGCGUGGAGGAAUCUGUUUGCACUGCCACCUGGCUUUGGAUCCAGCGUGGUGUACUGCUGUCCUAGGGAAGGAGGAGCCAGUUCCAUAGGAAGCAUUUGCCUGUUCACAGGAAUUCCCCGUCCAUACUUCUCCGUGAGAUGGAAUCAUUGUUUUUAGGGAUGUUUUCUGUUAAGUUCGGUAAAAUGAGUAGAUGAUGCUGAAGGAAAACCCAGAAGAGACUGUAGCUGAUAUUUUACCAAUAAAAUAAAUCUGUUAAUAGCCAAAUAGAUGUAAGAAGCUUUCUAGAGGUGACUGUGCAUGCUGAAGACUUUGAGUUGUCUUCUCCGUCCCCCUGCUAAGACAGAGCCAGUGGAGGAGCUCCCAGUUUCCUACCUGAGUAAAAUCCUUGGUUUCAUCAACCUCAGUCAGUCAGAAUUGCUGUAGACUCUCCAAGGAGCUGCUGCUGUGGCUUUAAAAAGCCAGCUACUUUCUUCCCAGUUUGGAACUGACUGGAACAUUUUGCUGUCAGGCAGAUUUUUACAAGGCAUCACCACGGGGCCCUGCAAAGCACCUCCUUCCCAGACAGCAGCUGCCUUUACAGGCUCCUCGUGGGACAGGAGCUGGUGAGGAUCUCCAGCUGCGUGACUUUCGAGAUGGAAUUAUGUCUUCAAGUGAGGAAUCAUGGUUUUAUGGAAGAGCAGCUCAGAGUGACACACACGAGUGGUGGAGGGGUCACACUCUGUGAGCAUCCCUGGAUAUGGGGCAACACCGCCGGAGUGGUGCUGUGACCUGCAGCCUCCCAGCACGCAGCCUGGGCUCACCGUCGAGGGGAGGUUGGUUUUUCCCGUCCCCACAGAGGUUACGCGCAUCACCCGAUGGCCACAGGAGCAAGGCGUGCUCAGGGACAGAGGCCACCGAGCCACCAGCAGUCACCUCUGCGUCCCAGGGGCCAAGGAAACAGCCCCUCAGUCUCAGAGAAAACUGCAUCUCCAAGGACAGAGAGGCUGAUCCAGAGUGUGCAGGGCAGGGCAGGAUCAUUCCCCGGAGGUUUGAGCUGUCACAGUCAGGCCCCCGGGGCUCCAUCCUCUGAGUGAUGAGGAAGCUCGCACAUCCCAGCUGAGCAAACUCAUUGUACAGCUUGGGCUGCACAACCCAUCUUCAUCUCGCUCCUCCCGGCUCAUGGAGAAUAUCUGAAACCACGGGCUUCAAUAAUGGUUUGAGUGGCCUUGGGAAUCUUAACAGGGAGCUGUGAGGAAUGACGUAACAAAAGAAAUGUGAUCCUGUACUCAACCCAGAUGUGUGGAGACAUUAGGGAAAUGUCGUUUUGCUUAAUUUUAUUUACAUUUCUAAAAAAAAGAAAAAAAAAAGGCAAGUCCAAUUAAGAGGGUGAAAAGGGGUUUUAUUAUUGACAUUUUAAUCCCUGAGAACUGCGGUCAACACAGUUGAAGUCUAUCAGCAACAGAGGAAUUUCAGGAUUUAAGACAGUGUGUAAUCCCUACACAAAGGAAAUGCUGAUAUAUAUUUUAACACACAUGACAGAUUUCAUUUCUGAAAGACUGACAUUACAGUUAAACUGGACCUUGCUUUGCUUAGAGGUGGUCAGUUUGUUAUCAAAGGUGAACAGCAAAGUCUAAGGAAACACAGGUGGCCUCAUGAAUCUGCUGCUGUGGGAGCUCUUGGAGAGGAUUUCACCUGAGGAAAGAAAAGGAAGUGUGGAACAAAAGGCUCAAAGAGGACCGUGAAAGCUCAUUCUUGUCUCUUCCACCAGCAGAACAAGGUGGAUGUCUGGGGCUUUGGCUGAAUGGUGAAUCACUGCCAACUUUUACCUGGGAAAACAAAGGAAAACCUGAGGGUCCAAGAUGCUUAAAGCAGUCUGCAUGCUGAAGGAGCAGGAAAAACCCUUUGUAACUACAAUAUAAGGAAAAUGAUUACUAGAGCAGCGUGUGAAAUGACUGCAGGCAGGUGUGAAUAAAAGUGAACCUGUAUUCAGUGGUAAAGUUCUUGGAGAGUCAAAACAAUAGGCUGUGAAUGAGCCUGGGAAUGUGCAGAUGAAUGACUCGAACUUCCCGCUGUGUGUGAGCUCCAGGAGCUCCAGCUGGCUGCAGCAUCCCUAAGGCAUCCAAGAGAGACAGGGAGAGGGAAGAGAGGGGACCCAUCUCACAAUCCCAGCGCUCAGGUGGGAGAGGACGCUGUGAGACCCUCUCUGAGGCUCUCUGUGAACACCUGGAGGAGUGAAUGCAGUUUAGGGUUUUCAUUUUGCUGUUCACCUUUGCGCUGGAGCUGUUCCCUCCAGCAGUGCACGUGUAAAGCGAGGGACACACGGCUGGGCUGACACUGGUGGUCAAAGGGGGUCGAAAAGGUGCUGUGGGUUCCAGUUACCCUUUGGGAUCUUCCCACCCAGCUGCUUUAGCGAGAGGAGUCCCUGAGCUUCCAUCGGUUCCAGCAGCUGCUUCACCGGGCUUGAAACCUCAUCUCCAUCGCUGUUGAAGCUCCAUUCUCCGUUGUUGUUGAAAUCUGAGGGAUCUUGGCUCUUCUGCGCGUCCCACCCGGCAUUCGGGGCUGGGCUAUCCCUGCUGCUGGCGGUGUGCACGGCACCCAGGGCGUGCUGCAGCCACAUCAGGCGCUUCAGCCCUUGCACCGCCCUCCCUCUGUCGUUCAGGAGCUGGUGCUCGGUCACUGCCCUGCUGCGAGGGAAGGAACACGGAGUCAGGAACGGGAGACGCUGAUUUGCAUCCAUGGAUCCCAGGUGCUUCUCUGCACCGAGGAAGGGGCGCUGGAGGUGCCUCAGGCUCCAGCAGCCUGUUAGGAAGCCUAAAGAAUCCUGCAGGUGGGAAGCUGAAAUGCUGUGCUAUUCCCAAAGGUGUACUUUUUUUUAGAAGGGUAAACUGGGGAGACUGACAAUUUGGUCUUUCCCAAUUCUAGAUUCUUUUCAGAGGUUUCAGUAGCAGGAUAAAGUUCUCUUUCCAUCACCUCAGUGUUACAGGACUCUUGGGUUUGUUUCUUUCCUUGCAGAGUUGUAACUUGGGAGUAAUUUACCUGAAAUUACUGAUGUCCCUGAAAUAAAACCAAACUCCUAUUUUCUUCAGAUACAACCAAAAUUUUUGAGUCAAACUUCAGCCUGCCCUCCUCCAUCAGUCAACAGUUGACUGAGGAGGGCAGGCUAAAUCUCAGAUGCAAAUCUUCCAGGAUUCCAGGCUGCUCAGAUGAGAUCUAACUGCAGCUAUAGGCUCCUACUGCAGAUUUGGAUCCGAAUGGGAACCUAAAUAUGGAAUUUCAGCAUGUGCCAUCUCCAUGGCUUCUGUUGAACAUCCUUAUGUGAUUUGCUACGCUGCGUUUAAAAGUGACAACUGAAAUACGGUCCAUGGUGCACAUCUAAAAAUGCAAUUGGUCUAAUUUUAUACUGCAGAGAGGGUGAAUAAAAUGCUGCUGUAUCAAAUACAUGGAAUUUUUCUUCUGGCAUGCCUGGAGUAACCAAGAGCAAUGCAGAACACAGCCCAUGAAAUCAAAAGUGAGCAGUUUUCUAAGGAUAUCAAUGAAGUUAAAAGGUAACAUUGCUUACUUUUCAAGGUCUUGGCACAUUGCAAAACAGGCAGAGAAAAGAAUUGCCAAAAAUGUAACUGUCUGCAGAGAUCUCUGGGGCAGGAGCUUUUUCUCUCUCCUUUAAAUCAGCUCCACAGGACCAGAAGCUGACGGUGCAAGCCAAAAUCUUUCCCUCUGUUCUUGCUUUCACCUGACAAAAUGAAUUUCAGCCUUUAAGCAGGGGCGAGAGUGGAGCACUGUGCUGUGGUAAAAUAUCCCAGGACCUCCCACAUCAUCCCAGACCCGUGGAUUUGUAACAUACACAGGAAAGGAUGGAUAGGAUUCACAGGAUAUUUCUACAUUUCCUUGCUCAGAGUCCUAAAUCUCCUUUCCCACUGUUGCCUCUCGAUACAAUAUUUUGAACUCUUGUACAUUUGCAAGCACAGAAGAUUAUUUCAGGACUUUUCAGGAAGAGACCCUCCUGACAAAAAAACUUCACAGCAAUUUGACAAAGAUCAGGAUUGCUGAAAAUCACAAAACCCAAAAGUUGUUUGAGGCUAGAGCAAGAAUGUCAAGUUAAAAGGUGUUCACAGCCCUGGGGUUUAGGCCUUCAAUAACACAACCUUUUCUCCAUGCUGACACGCAAAUAGCCAGGAUUACAUUAGACUGAUGCUGGAUUUCUUUUCUGUGAAGAAGUGAAUUUCUGGCUUAGGGAAGGGACGACUAGAAGAUGUCAUUUUGCAAUAAUUACUUUAAUCUACGUUAUAAUUUCAUCCAGCUCUACAUCUGCUCAUGGCAUUGGUACACCCAUACCUUCCCAUCCCUUCAACCCCACCACAUCUUUAUUGCCAGGUCUAGCCUUAAAAUUUCUUCAUUUUUGGUACUAAUGACUGUUUCAGGACUGGCUCCAGCCUAGCCCUUUAUCCAUUUACCAGCAAAUCCUGUAUUAAUUGUUACAUCAAAACCCAGAGGGACAACAAAACAAAAGUUGCAGCAUUUAAAUUGUUAUGUAAGAGUAGUAAACACAAGUUCCUGAACAAUUUUUUGAAGGAAUAAUCCUUUCUGUGCAGAAGAAAUUUGGGAUAAUAAAAAACUCAGCAUCUCCUCAAACAACUUGUCUUCAACUUGAAUGUUGUCAGUGGCUGGAUACAAAAAGCAAAUUAUACAUUAACAGAACAUAAAUACACAUCAAUUCUGUAUUUGUUUGUAACAAGCUUGUUCUUAAUAAGCCUGCCGCAGUAAUUUGUGAGUAAUUUUCUUGGGCAAUAUCUUGAAAUCAAACUAGAUGUGAAAUAACAAGUGGGUAUUAGUUCUGAUGAAAAACGUGUGUAUUAAAUGCAGAUACAUGCACAUAAAUAUACAUAGAGAUGGGUGUAUUAAAUGCUGAGGGAUAUUUUAAGUCAUGCUAAUGCAGAACUGCUCAGACACAAUAGAGAAAUGACACUUCGCUGCUCUGAUCAACAGUGAACUCUACAUUAAUUAAAAGCAUCUCCCAGUUACAAAAGGAACGUUAUCCACUUACUGCUGGUGGUGUUUGGAUCCCAGUGAAGUCCUGACCUGCAGAGUCUCCUGCCAGCCCCGUGGUGAUGCUCCGGUGCAGUGACACCCAGUGCCCUUGACCGCCUUUUAUAGCAGCCCAGAGAGCUCAGGAACAAUGGGAAUGGGCUCCACAGCACUCUGUGACUAAGACCUUGUGCCAGGGAAAUGAGACAGCUCCAGCAAUAAUAAAUCUCAGAUUUUAAAAUAUUCAGCUGUGACUAAGGAAAAGAUCACAGCUAUGCAGGCAGUUUCUUCUUCCUUUGCAGUCUCUCCUGUUUUGUGAGAACUUUAGAUUCUACCACAGCUUUCCUGUGCCCCAAGAUGAUGGACAGGGGAUAUCCAGCUGUUCCAGGAAAUGUGUCUCUGCUGUGGCAAUAGAUUUUAUUCCUUUACUGUGCUUAUGGCUCAGGUGUGGGAUCCUGAGCUGGGGAGGAAGAAUCUAAAUUAACAGUACUGGUGCCCCCUGCGAUGUACAGUCAGCAAAAUCCAGUUACAAAACCACAGAAUCACUGAAUGAAGAAGGUCGAAAAAGACCUUUAAGAUCAUCUUGUCCAACCUAAGACCUAACACCUCCUCAUCAACUAAACCAUGGCACUGAGUGCCACAUCCAGGUCCAGUCUCUUUGUAAACAAAUCCUGGGACAGUCUGUCUUGGGUUAUGGCUGUAUCAUCAGGAUACUCUGUGACUCCACCACUUCCCUGGGCAGACAAUUCCAGCACUCAAUCACUCUUUCAGUUAAGAUUUUUUUUUUUCUGAUGUCUAACGUAAACUUCCCCUGAUGCAGCUUAAGUCUGUGUCCUCUUGUUCUGUCAAGGAGCAGAAACUGACCCCAAUCUGAGUACAAGCACCUUUCAGGCAGUUGUAGAGAGUGAUAAGGUCACCCCUGAAUCUCCUUUUCUCCAGGCCAUACAACCCCAGCUCCCUCAGCCAUUCUUCAUUGGGCUUGUGUUCCAAGCCCUCCACCAGCCUUGUUGCCUCCUCUGGAUGUGUUCCAAGCGAGUUCAAGUUACUCACAGAAAAUCUCAGGAGCUGCUAAGUGAUAAAAUCCCAGAAUGGUUGAACUGGAGAGGACCUUAAAGCCCACAAUCCCACCCCCUGCCAUGGGCAAGGACACCUUCCACCAUUCCAGGAUGCUCCAAGCCCCUUCCAGCCUGGCCUUGGACACUUCCAAGGAUGGGGCAGCUACAGAUUCUCUGGGCAAACUAAAUAAGAUCCCACUGGAUUUUAAUGUUCAGUACAAAUUUAAUUCAAAUCCGUUGAUUGGACAGUGAAGAAAUUUGUUUGAAAUCUUGCCAAAUGGGAGAAACUCAUUGAACAAUAAAAGUGCAAAUGGUAGUACAGUCAAAAAGUCAAAUUCUGGUAUGUUUUGAAACCCCACAAGCCGACACCACACAAGGUUAUGUGUUCACUAUAUGAUCUCUAAGCAGGUAAUUCCAAUAGAAUUUGGAUACUCAAGAUGUGGCUGGAUCAUUAGGCUGAAACUACUUAAGAGUUCCUGUUUCUCAAAGUGAAAGACAGUGAAUGUAUUUGUCAUCUCUGAGGAGCAAUUCCCGGAGAAGAUUGGACAGAUCAUUUGCUCAGUGCUUUCUGAAGCCAUGGAUUCCUUUCCCAGAGGCGCAGGGCUGCGUUCCUGAUAAAGCCAGGCUCAGGUGGAUGCAGACACGUUGUCCUGCACAGACAGACAGGCCCCUUGCAGGGCUUCACAGCCUGGUCUGUUCUCACAGCUUCCAUGGACACCAAAUUGCAUUAAUUACAUUCCUCAAGGCAGCUCGUCUGAGCCCCACUGUGUCUGAGACACCCAAUAAACGUUCCUAACUUCAUUACCUCAGUCCUGAUCGUUAAGAAGAGUGUUGCCCAUUAGAGUGCGUCACCAAUUAAAGCUGACAUUUGUUAAAUUUUGGUAGAUCAGGGCCCGGCUUCACAUCUGAGUCUCCAGGGCAGCACUUAGGCUGUGGUCAUACCAAAUUAUCCCCCGUGGAUCCCUUGGUUACAUCUUUAAGGAUUAAUAAGCAUUGACCAAAGUCCUGCGUAAAACAUCUGGGACUUUUCAUCCAUGAACUUUUCACGUCUCCGGUGCACAAUGGGCUUUCAUCGGCUGCAAUUCUCGGCAUCUCCACCGGAAAAACAUCAGCUGAGUGACCACAGCAGAGAUGGCAACGUGGGAUCGGGGCAGGGGCACUUGGAGGAUGUUCUGGUGGUCACAUUCCUCUGGCCAUUUCCUUCCACCCAAGGACUCUGGAGAAGUCGGAAUAACCACGGUCCUCACUUCGUGCCAUCUCCCUGAGCUCGAACUGCGCCAGGGUUACCCAUGAGAGAUACAAUUUUUCUAAAGAAAACAUAAAACGUGUCAAUUGCACACUCCAGCUAUCCAGGAGGAAACGUUCCCAGCUGUAAUGGGACCCCAAAUCCCUUGAGCUGCUGUGCCGCCUGUGGAAAGCCGGGCACCGCCCUGCCGAGAGGAAACGCUCUGAUCACACUCGCAGUAAAUAGAGCUGCCCUGGCCUCCCUCACUCAGAGAUGGGAGGAAAUGACACCUCACAGCAAACCACGAAGAUUUUGGCACCAUCACACUUGCACUCGAGGUGCUCCAGGGGCAUCACCAGCUCUGUGCCCCCGGGAAAGGAGCCAGCAGACCCACGGCUUCCAUAACCAUUUCAAGAGGUGAAGUUCAGCUCCCAGGAGUGAGUUCCAGGCUUUCCCUCCCUCUGGGUGCUUCUGGCUCUUCUGUGUCACCUCCUUGUUGCUGGGGGCAGUCCUGUGCCAUCUGAAGAGGUGCCAGCUUUCCCAUUUGGGAGGGGGGCAAACUGUUCCAGGAGCAGUUUGAAAUCCUGGCCCCUGUGCACUGUGUACUGCGUCAUUCCACAGAAAACUCCCAUCUUCCAGGGAAUUAAAAUUAGAGUGGAACAGCAGUGACUCAGGCUCACUGUUUUCAUUUUCCAUUUUCUGAUUUCAAGCCAAAUCUACAGAAGCUCUUGGGACUCACAGCUCUCUCUGAACAUGGUAGUAAGGGUGAGUGUUUUGUCCUCCAAAACCUAUCCUGAAACCAAACCUGGGGCUGAUUCUCUUUUCUGCCCAAAACAAUCUCCAGAUGGAAUAUUUUAUGUGUGCAAAACAAACUCAAGUGAAGUUGAGACAAAGCCUGGGAUCCCUUUUGCUGCUUCUGUAACGCCCACUGAACUCUCUGAGAUUAUCCCAGGUUCCACAGUGUUGUAGAAGUCUCCUGAGCACCUGAGUAAAAACAAGGGAUGUGUCCCAGUGCCAUGGGCCGUGUCUCCAUGAAAAAGAACUCUCUGGGAUCUGCCCCUGGCAGAGAAUGUCACUGUGGUGCCAAUAGCUAAGACAUGAGACCCCAAGUGGGUUCUUCUUCUUCUAAGCAGUGGCAGAAGCCUCACACCUUGAAAGGUGAGGGUGAAGGAUGAGCAAUUAAAUGUCAGCCAGGUAAAGAAACAUCACACCAAUUAAUCCCCAAGUGCUGAGGCUUGGGGACACGCUGUGCCCCUGCUUGGUGCUGUGUCUUACUUUAGGUCUAUGAUACAAAAAUUACAGUCUGUUGUUUCACUCUCUCUUUACAUGAAGUCUGAGGUAGAGAUAAAAUCUUUCACAGUGUCAAAACAUGUUUUAAAAGCAAGGAAAUAAGGGACUUGUACCCUGUAAACAGAAGAGUGUGUGGGAAUAAGCUCACACACUGAAAUAUAUCUAAAGAUCAGCCUUGUGUAAGUUUGUUUCUUCAGAAAAGGGCCCUCAGCAGGGCAGGUCGAUGGGCAGGAUGUGAAAAUGGGGCAAAUCCACAGGAACCUGAUGGCAGCAGGCUCAGAUGUGCCUGUGUACAGUCGGUUUUCUGACUGGUCCCCUCCACCAGUUCCUGUUGUGUUCGAGCAGUGACGUUUCCCAGCAGAAGAUCUUUCCAUGGGCAGAACCGUGCCACGAAAUAACUGGUUUUGCUGGUGUCUGGUUUUGCUUGAGGAGCAGCUCUAAGAGAUCCUCUUACAGAUAGGAGUAUUCUCCAGUAAAAAUUAUCUGUCUCCUGAGGUAUCCAGAGCUCCAGGAGCAUUUGGACAAUGUUCCCAGUCACAUGGUGGGAUUUUGGGGUGUCCUGUGAAGGCCAGGAGUAGAUUUUGGAUGGUUCUUGCGGGUCCCUUCCAGCUCAGGAUAUUCAGUGGUUCUGUGAUCCCUUAAAUUUGGCUUACACAGCUGAGGUUCCUUCGAAAUCAUAACGUCUAGAAUGUGUUCAUUUUCCUCUCUGAGACUGAAAUCUCAGAAACCAUGACAACAGUUUGACUGGAACACUUUACUCCAGAUCAGUGCGGUCUUGGAUCCCGGUCUGGGGGUGUUAUAAAACAUUUAACCAAUGAUAUUGGACACAAGUGGUAAAAGCCAGCAAGUACAAUGCAGCAGACACUCAGAAACUUGGAAGAAGGAGAGAAGUAAUGUAACACAAAGCCUCCACAUAUGUGUGACAUCCAGAGGGCUGGUUUGGGGACCAGCUUUGGGAGGACAAACUGCUGACUUUGGAAUGACACCAGUGUUGAGUGGCUGUGCUGGCACAUCCCAACCCCAGCUCCGGGAAUUUGGCUGAACCCUCUCACCUCUGCCUUGUGUCCUGGUGAUGGGCCACGUUUAGUUUCUGAAUAAUGCCAAAAGCAAACUGACAAUAGAUUAUGUUUGGAUGAUUUCUGUGGAUUGUGAUUUAUAAAAGUGGAGACAGGCUUAACCCCAGGGAAGAAGUGCUUGAAUAGAGCAGGUAACAUGUCCUAGGUGAGUGCUGAGUGCUCUGUUUGCUUUGCAGCAGGUGAACUGACUUCUGAAUAAAUCCUUUGUUCCCAAGUCUGUCACCUGGAAUUAUCUUCACACAUCAUGUGUAACUUUGGUAUGAAAUUAAAAGUUCUGUUAGGAUUACAAGGUUAUCCAAGUUGCUCUCUAAUUGAGGGUCUAGGAAUGUAGGAAUGCUGCAAAUUCCCUGGGAGAAGGGAGGUGAGUGCUGGAAAUCAGCAUCUCAAGUCCAAAGUGAACAGCUCCAACCUUCAAAUUAUUUCCUUUGUUUGUGUUGCCCCAGGAAAUUAGCCAUCAGCUAAUUUAGAUUACAAUGGAUUAGAUUUCCUUAUUUAAAGGCUGGUAACUCUCAGAUAACUGUACGUACAAUAAAGAUACUUUGGAGCAUUCAUUACCUCAAAA